AACACGGUAGUUUAAUUUUAAAAUUUAUAUUUUGCGUGUAUGAGAUGACUUUUGUUUUGUGUUA
This 64-nucleotide transfer RNA is filed under the name Sindiplozoon sp. DZ-2018. RNAcentral's name for it is "tRNA-Ala". The record is from RNAcentral. Lineage: Eukaryota; Metazoa; Platyhelminthes; Monogenea; Mazocraeidea; Diplozoidae.